This 67-nucleotide transfer RNA is filed under the name Calappa bilineata. Its description in RNAcentral is "tRNA-Ser". Lineage: Eukaryota; Metazoa; Arthropoda; Malacostraca; Decapoda; Calappidae. The record is from RNAcentral.
AAUUAUUUAGUUUAUAUAAAACAGAUAUUUUGAAAAUAUCCAAAAAGAAAAAAAUUCUUAAUAAUUG